GCUUAACACAUGCAAGUCGAACGGUGAACCUGCUUCGGUGGGGGAUCAGUGGCGAACGGGUGAGUAACACGUGGGCAACCUGCCCUCAGCUCUGGGAUAACUCCAAGAAAUUGGGGCUAAUACUGGAUAUGACCGCUGACCGCAUGGUCUGGUGGUGGAAAGAUCUAUCGGCUGGGGAUGGGCCCGCGGCCUAUCAGCUUGUUGGUGGGGUAGUGGCCUACCAAGGCGACGACGGGUAGCCGGCCUGAGAGGGUGACCGGCCACACUGGGACUGAGACACGGCCCAGACUCCUACGGGAGGCAGCAGUGGGGAAUAUUGCGCAAUGGGCGAAAGCCUGACGCAGCGACGCCGCGUGGGGGAUGACGGCCUUCGGGUUGUAAACCUCUUUCAGCAGGGACGAAGCGAAAGUGACGGUACCUGCAGAAGAAGCACCGGCCAACUACGUGCCAGCAGCCGCGGUAAUACGUAGGGUGCAAGCGUUGUCCGGAAUUAUUGGGCGUAAAGAGCUCGUAGGCGGUUUGUUGCGUCGGCUGUGAAAACCUGAGGCUCAACCUCAGGCCUGCAGUCGAUACGAGCAGACUAGAGUGUUGCAGGGGAGACUGGAAUUCCUGGUGUAGCGGUGAAAUGCGCAGAUAUCAGGAGGAACACCGGUGGCGAAGGCGGGUCUCUGGGCAACAACUGACGCUAAGGAGCGAAAGCGUGGGGAGCGAACAGG
Molecule: ribosomal RNA, 716 nt
Filed under: uncultured Actinomycetes bacterium
Lineage: Bacteria; Bacillati; Actinomycetota; Actinomycetes
Description: bacterial SSU rRNA
Rfam family: Bacterial small subunit ribosomal RNA
Source: RNAcentral